RNAcentral lists this long non-coding RNA (1095 nucleotides) under Micromonas pusilla. RNAcentral's name for it is "long non-coding RNA (MPUS_LNC000159)". The record is from RNAcentral. Lineage: Eukaryota; Viridiplantae; Chlorophyta; Mamiellophyceae; Mamiellales; Mamiellaceae.
AGGAUCCCAUCGCCAUCCGCCUCCUCCUCCUCCUCCUCCUCUCCCCGACGACGACGACGAUGGCGACGACGGCGACGCGCUAACGCGCGCGCUCGCGGACGCCGAGGUCCGCGCGGUGUCGAUCCGCGCAAGCAGGAACCUGUUCGAGGGCGGCACGGGCUGCCACGCCUGGCGCGCGGGGUUCCACCUCGCGGAGAUGAUCAUGAGGUGCGUUCUGUCUCACACUGGUCCCCGUACGACCGCGUCGGCGUGGUGAACGCCGAUCCUUAAGGACUUUUGCCACCAUUUCUCUCCGCCCACACCUCGCUUUCAAUCCCCGUCCUCGGCGCCUUUCAACUUCACCUGACGCCUUUCAACUGCACCCCGACAUUCGCUCGUAUGGACCCUCGACCCUGAGGCGACCCGCGCUCUUCGCGUCGAGAGAGAUUCGACACGUGAUGGAGCUCGGCGCCGGCGUCGGCGUCGUCGGCGUCGUUCUCGCGCGAUGCAUGCGAGACUACACGCGCGCGUGCACGACGGUUGAGGGGGAUACGGAACGUCAACCGGCGCGGAGUAGGAGGCUGACGCUGACGCUGCAGGAGAAGGACGACGACGCCGUCGCCAACUUGACGGGGAACCUUCGGCGGAACGGCGUCGCGCGCCGACGCGCGGAGACUACUUUAGUCGGACAUGAUAUGCUGUCGGACAGAGAGUGUCGGACGGCGGCGGCGGCGGGCGACGAGGGUAGAUACUCAUACGACGGGGACGACGACGCGGGCGUGGACGUUCGCGUCGUGAAGUUCGACUGGGAGUGUCGGACGAACGACGAAGCGCUCCGAGAGACGAAGCCGGACCUGGCGCGUUCAGUUUAUUAUUCUUUCGCCCUCCCCCCGGUUUCGAACGCGACGCGAUGCCGAUCGACUGACCGACUGACCGACGCCAAUCCGUCUGAUCGUCUCGUUCAAACCAGGUGAUCGCCGCGGACGUGUGUUACGACCCCGCGCUGUUCCCCGGACUCCUGGCCACGCUGCGCGCGCUGUCGUCGGACCGCGCCGCGCUUCAGGAUACGGAAUCCGAAGCGUCGUCGCGGGGAUACGAACCGCCGUUCGCGCUCAU